This 253-nucleotide ribosomal RNA is filed under the name uncultured bacterium. RNAcentral's name for it is "partial 16S ribosomal RNA". It matches the Rfam family "Bacterial small subunit ribosomal RNA", at positions 524 to 776 of the family's 1533-position model. The record is from RNAcentral.
UACAGAGGUCUCAAGCGUUGUUCGGAUUCAUUGGGCGUAAAGAGCUCGUAGGCGGCUUGUCGCGUCGUCCGUGAAAACUUGGGGCUCAACCCCAAGCUUGCGGUCGAUACGGGCAGGCUAGAGUUCGGUAGGGGAGACUGGAAUUCCUGGUGUGGCGGUGAAAUGCGCAGAUAUCAGGAGGAACACCGGUGGCGAAGGCGGGUCUCUGGGCCGAUACUGACGCUGAGGAGCGAAAGCGUGGGGAGCGAACAGG